This 6282-nucleotide long non-coding RNA is filed under the name Homo sapiens (human). RNAcentral's name for it is "HSALNT0131520". The record is from RNAcentral. Lineage: Eukaryota; Metazoa; Chordata; Mammalia; Primates; Hominidae.
CUUGGCCUCCCAAAGUGUUGGGAUUACAGGUGUAAGCCACUGAGCCUGGCCAUUAAGUCCCCAUUUCUUUGGGGUCAACUAUUAGAGCUUUAUUUUGUUGCUUUAAAGGUGUCAUAUUUCCUUGAUUCUUUGUAUAUAUAUAUUUUUGAAGACUUGCGCUGCUAUCUUCACAUUUGAAGAAGCGGUCACCUCCUUUAGUCUUACUUGUUUCUUAUUAAAAUUUUUUUAAUGUUUUUUUUUAAGAGAUGGGAUCUCACUAUGUUGCCCAGGGUGGUCUCAAACUCCUGGCCUCAAGUGAUCCUCCCACCUCAGCCUCCCAAAGUGCUGAGAUUACAGGUGUAAGCUACCAUGCCUGGCUGUCCCCCAGUCUUUGUUGACUGGCUUUGGGAGAGAAAGACCUUCAUCAGUCAUCCUAGCUAAGGAUUUGAGGGAUCGCUCAGAUCUUUUCUGUAGAUACACCCACUCUACUCCUGUUGCUCCCUCUUAGGGAGAGAAGUCUUAGGUUGUAAGCUCCUCUCAAUCCUCCAAAGCUGGGUCUACACUGAGCACCUCCCAUUUUCCCUAAUGCAGUGCUCUGAAGCAUUCAAGGUUGGGCACCUUCUCCCAGUCCAGCAGAGUCAAGCCGGCUGCUCAGAUUUGCAUCUGCCGUUGAGAUCUGUGUACUGUUUGGGAGGAGGGUGCAUGAGACACCAUAUGCUCAGGGGUACGUGGAGUGCUGGGGGCAUGGAUCAGUUGGUUGGGGGGCCCACAGGCAAGUUGUUCUGUGGGUUCAUGGGCGGGCCUCCUGGUGGAGUGUUAGCUGGUUAGUGGGAUCCAUGGCUGGCUGUUGGUUGCUAGGCAUGUCCUUCCCUUCUCCUAGCAGUCCCCAGGUGACUCAGCCAUGCUGAUUCCUCAGUGUUCUGGGGAGAGACACAGGUGGGCUAUUGGGCAGCAUCCUAUAAGGUUGGGGAAGCUGGUGCUCACUCAGCACUCAGUUUCCCCUGUGGGAGAAACCACAGGCCCAGGGGGGCCUCAUUGGAGGAGCACUAGCACAGGUAAACUGAACCUUCUUAGCCUCUUCGGUGUGCUCUCUUUGCCCUGUGGGGUGCUAGAACCUCUCAGUGUUUCUGUGGGGGCAUGAGGGCUGGAACCUCCUAUUCUGUCACCUUCCUGGCCUCUUCCUACAAUUAUUUUUAUGCUCAAAUUGCCCCCGAUUUGGACAGGGGGAGAGCCUUCAGGCUGCUCCUCCAGCCCUCUCACAUGUCCCCAACGUUGUUCAGCAUUUCCUUAUUUUCCAGCACUAGACAUUCUAAGGCUCACCCUGUACUCUCUCUGCUCUUCCCUGGAAAUAGUCAUUUCUCCAAAGAGUUCUGUUCCCUUGGAAUAGAGAAUGGUAUUUACAAACCAAGAAAUGGAUUUCAGGUGUGCCAGUUGUUUCUGGGGUGGCAUUGCUUCUAGGCCCCUUCGGUGGACAGAGCUGGGAAAGAAACUGUGUGUAUCAUAUAUAUCUGCACACGUAAGCUGUGUGUGUAUCAUAUAUAAUACAUCUGCACAUAUAAACUGUGUAUGUAUCAUAUAUAAUACAUCUGCACUUAUAAACUGUGUAUGUAUCAUAUAUUAAUACAUCUGCACAUAUAAACUAUCAUCUGUACAUAUAAACUGUAUAUCAUAUAUAUCUGCACAUAUAAACAGUAUCAUAUAAUACAUCUGCACAUGUAAACUGUAUCAUAUCUGCACAUAUAAACUGUAUAUCAUAUAUAUCUGCACAUAUAAACUAUCAUAUAUAAUACAUCUGCACAUACAAACUAUCAUAUCUGCACAUAUAAACUAUAUCAUAUAUAUCUGCACAUAUAAACUAUCAUAUAUAAUACAUCUGCACAUACAAACUAUGUAUCAUAUAUAAUACAUCUGCACUUAUAAACUCUGUGUAUCAUACAUAAUACAUCUGCACAUAUAAACUAUCAUAUCUGUACAUAUAAACUGUGUAUAUCAUAUAUAUGCACAUAUAAACUAUCAUAUAUAAUACAUCUGCACAUACAAACUGUAUGUAUCAUAUAUAAUACAUCUGCACUUAUAAACUGUAUCAUACAUAAUACAUCUGCACAUAUAAACUGUAUCAUAUCUACACAUAAACUGUAUAUAUCAUAUAAUAUAUGCGCAUAUAAACUAUCAUAUAUCUGCACAUAUAAACUAUGUAUCAUAUAUAUCUGCACAUAUAAACUGUGUGUAUCAUAUAUAGUACAUCUGUACAUAUAAACUGUAUCAUAUACAUCUGCACAUAUAAACUAUCAUAUAUAAUACAUCUGCACUUAUAAACUGUGUACCAUAUAUAUCUGCACAUAUAAACUGUAUCAUAUAUAUCUGCACAUAUAAACUAUCAUAUAUAAUACAUCUGCACAUAUAAAUUGUGUAUAAUACAUCUGCACAUAUAAACUGUAUCAUAUAUAAUACAUCUGCACAUAUAAACUAUCAUAUCUGCACAUAUAAACUAUCAUAUCUGCACAUAUAAACUAUCAUAUAUCUGCACAUAUAAACUGUAUCAUAUAUAAUACAUCUGCACAUAUAAACUGUAUCAUAAUACAUCUGCACAUAUAAACUGUCAUGUAUAUCUGCACAUAUAAACUGUAUCAUAUAUAUUUGCACAUAUAAACUGUGUGUAUCAUAUAAUACAUCUGCACAUAUAAACUAUCAUAUAUAAUACAUCUGCACAUAGAAACUGUGUAUCAUAUAUCUGCACAUAUAAGCUGUGUGUGUAUCAUAUAUAUCUGCACAUAUAAACUGUGUGUAUCAUAUAUAAUACAUCUGCACAUAUAAAUGUGUGUAUCAUAUAUAUCCACACAUAUAAACUGUGUGUGUAUCAUAUAUCUACACAUAUAAACUGUGUGUAUCAUAUAUAAUACAUCUGCACAUAUAAACUGUGUGUAUCAUAUAUAUCCGCACAUAUAAACUGUGUGUGUAUCAUAUAUAUCUGCACAUAUAAACUGUGUGUGUAUCAUAUAUAAUACAUCUGCACACAUGCUUCUCUGUAUUGAAAACCAAAUUGUCACGGACCACUCCCAUUCUCACGCAGCAUUUAGGGCUGUGGCUAGCCUUUCCCAGCUGUAAGAAACCUGUCUUUCAGCAUGAUAAACACAUUUACUUAUUUGCUCAGUCCUCUAAUAUGCAGAAAGUAGUUUUAGAAUUGCCAAAACCAUACAACUUGGAAAAACAAGCAUGAUUACUUCAAGAUGUGUUUGUAGCUCCUUCUGUCCUGGCAUUGGACGUGGAGAGAAAGCACAGACUGUUCCAAGUUUCAUUUUUCCCCUUCUCUGAAACGCAGAGAGCGUUGUUUGUUUCUGUUUGUAUUUCAUUUGGGUCCUCCCUCUAGCCUUAUUCAUAAAUUUGUAAAUGAUCUUUAACAAUCUGUUAUAUUUAUGAUGUUUUACUGCGUGCUGCCUGUGAAAAUGUUUCCUUCUUCUGACACGUUCCAGAACAACUAGGCUUUUAAAUUCCAAAUAUUCCUGUUUCACAAUAAACCAGAUGAGGGCCUCUGUUGUGCCACAGCUUUUGGAAUGUGGUUUAUUACCAAUAGAAGUGGCUGCGUGGCUUGUUAUGGUUUCAAUUACACGUGAGUAACAACCGGGGCCCUUCUGUGUCAGGUGCUGCUGAUCAAGGCUGGCUAAUGGGGACCUCGCUGUCCAGAACGGGCGUUUCCCAUGGCCCGGCCCAGCUGUUUACCACUUCUGUCUACCAUUUCAGAGGGGCUUUGCGGAGAUUAAAUGAGGUGAAGCGCUCUGAGAACCUCAGUCCUAAAGAAUAGCAGUUAUACUGGUUUUUGUAUUAUAUUUAUAUAUUCUUCUUGUUAAUAUACUGGUUUUAAUGUUCAUCGUUCUCUUGGGAUCCCAUGACAGUGAGCCUGGUGUACCUGAGGUCUGGGAUACUCACACCUCUCCCCAGUCCCAUGCUCCCCACUGUGGCAGUGCCUGUCAGGGACCCUGCUGACCCCAGGAAGCCUCGGUGUCCCCAGCGCUGGCUCUGCUCACACAGGCAGCAGGCUUAGUGUUCUCUGGCCUGGCUGCACUGACUGGACCAGGGACAGGGGAAGGGCCCCAAAGCACCCUGUUCCAGGCAGCCGGCCAGUCGUGGCCGAGGAGCUCCAUUCAACAGUGGCACCCAGAGGGGCCAGGGUCUCAUAAAGCUGGUCAGACGCCCCCUCUGGGUAGGGGUGUAGGAAGCGGCUGUGCAGCCGGGUCCCAGGUAGGGAGGCAUAGAGUGAAGGCUGUGAGCAGGAGCCCUGGGGCGGAGGGCCAGGAGAAGGCUGGGCACAGGUCCAUCGGUGGCAGCUGGGUGGGCAGAGCAGAGAGGCUGCAUCUGCACGACGGCAGGGCCCUGGUGUGGGAACAGCAGACGGGGCCCCUGGGUGCGGCGCCUCCUUCCCACAUCCCUGCUGCUCCUGCAUCUGCUGCUGGAGAAGACCACGACGUGCUCAGACCCCGGCACUGGAGAACUCCAGAUGUGGUGAGGGCUGCACGUUAGCUGCAUACGCACAUCUGGAAGGUGAGGCAGACGUGCCCACCGCCUCCAUGCCUGGCCCACAGUUGUGGGCAUGCAGAGCUCCUCUGUGGCAGGCCCAGGCUGCACCAGCUGCCUGGAGAGGCACUGGGGGCGGGGCCUCACUUGAGGGGCAGAUUCUCCCACCCAGCCAGUCCAGGCCCAGCGGCUGGAGCAUCCCGUCCAGCAAAUUGUCCUGCAAGUUGCCCUGGAGACCCAGCGUCUCUCAUCACGUCUCACUCCCCUGCCAGAUGCCUCUGCGGCAAUAACGAGAGUGGCUCUGCCUUCUGCACUGAAUGCCGACAGGUGACCAGAACAUGACACUGGGGUUAUGCAGUGCCCUGGUUGAUAUUCUAGUUCAUCAGGGAGCUUCUGGAAUGAUUUUUUUUUUCUUUUUUUUUUUUUUUUGAGACAGAGUCUCUCUCUGUCGCCCAGGCUGGAGUGCAAUGGAGCAAUCUUGGCUCACCACAACCUCUGCCUCCGGGGUUCAAGUGAUUCUCCUGUCUGAGCCUCCUGAGUAGCUGGGAUUACAGGUGUCCACCACUAUCACUCAGUUAAUUUUUAUAUUUUUAGUAGAGAUGGGGUUUCACCAUGUUGCCUGGGCUGGUCUCAAACUCCUGACCUCAGGUGAUCUGCCUCCUCAGCCUCCCAAAGUGCUGGGAUUACAGGCAUGAGCCACCUCACCCAGCCAACUUUCUUUUGCUUCACUUUUCCUCUGGUUGCCCCAUCUUUAUUGUCAAGUCCUGUUAAGAGGAACAACAUUAAAAUGAGAGCUUUCAUGGCAAAAAGGUUGCUGUGGGUUGAGCUUGCAAUGUUAGCUGCGUGUUAGGAUUCAGCUGACAUCUGUCUCUGGAGUCUCGCCCUUUCUGUAAUUCGCUUUUGACUGUAAUAAAUGUUGUACAGUGAAUGUGUGGGUGGGGCCUCUGAGUUACAUCGGCUCAAGGCCUCUUUUAAGGAGGACCCAAAUAAGAGUGGGGAUUGAUGUAUUUGACUGGGAACCCACUCAGGGCCACCAUGCAGUGAAGCUCCGGAGCAGGGGUGUAGACGCCCUGCUUGAAGCGUUGAGAAGCCCCACAGUACAAGUGUGCAGAAGUCAAGCUCCUCCUGCUGGAGCAGGGACAGGGCAAUAGGGAAAGGCUUUUCCAGAGGCAGGGUCAUUGGGACUGGCUCUUCCGGGAGGAGCUGAGGGCACACGCUGGGCAGAGCUGACCUCUGUGUGCGGAUCGCCUGGGAUGGCGCCUCCGGUGGCCUCACGAUAAAGCACCUCAGAGGCAGGAGAUGAACUUGAGACCUGACCGUGAAGGAGUGAGGAGUGAAGUCCUCUUCUCAACAGAAGGAAACCAUCAAAGAGGUUACAUAAUCAAAACUGUGUUGUCAAAAUAUUGCUGGACAGAGAUGGCGGCUGGUCCGGCACGUGGGAAUGUUGGUGACAAGAGGUCAGUUCGGUGGCUCUUGGACCUCCCAGGCCAGGAGGGAAGCGCCCAGGCCAAGGUGGGAGCCUGAGAAUAGAGAUUUCAAGAGACGCUUCUAAUGAAUGCUCAUCAGAAUGUUAUUAUUAUUUUAUUUUAUUAUUUUAUUGGGACUGGAUUGACUUGCAUUUCCUUCACUAAUCAGAAGUUUGAGGGCAAAGAUAAAUCUCAAAUAAUCACCUUGCAUUUCUGAUGAGUUAAAUGAGUGUGUUUUAUGCCCUGGUUGUAUGAGCUUGCUUUUCCACAAAUAAGAGUGGAAAUUUUAUUUUAUUAUUAUUUUGUAUUAUUAUUUUAUUUUAUUUUU